Coffea eugenioides is the source of this 1819-nucleotide long non-coding RNA. RefSeq lists it as uncharacterized. Lineage: Eukaryota; Viridiplantae; Streptophyta; Magnoliopsida; Gentianales; Rubiaceae. The record is from RefSeq and is a predicted model, not a curated record. The transcript has 8 exons.
CUCCUCUUCCUCUUGAGAAAUUGGAAAUAUGGGGAUGCCCCAAUCUUAUCUCCUUUCCAAUUCAUUUAUCCCGAACACCUUCUCUCUCUUUCCUGGACAUACCAUACUCUAAGAAAUUAAAUGACUUGCCCAAGGGGAAGCUUUAUUCUCUUACAAGCUUAAGAGAAUUGGGAAUUGGACCAUUCUCAAAAACCACAGAGCUGCAUUCCUUCUUAGACCUCUUUGGUGCUCUCCCACCAUCGCACCCCUACUUCCCCUCCCUUUCAAAAUUAAUUCUGUGUGGAUGGCCUCAUUGGGAAUCUCUGCCCGAGCAACUUCAGCACCUCUCUGCCCUAACAGUUCUUGAACUAGAUGGUUUUGGAGUAAAAUCAUUGCCUGAUUGGUUUGGGGAGCUUUCGUCACUUGAACGACUCUUCCUCUACAAUUGUAAAAAGCUAAAAAAUUUACCCAAAUCCAUGAGUAGCCUCACCAGACUAAAAGAGCUGCAGAUUGAAAUGUGUCCCCUUCUAACGGAAAGAUGCAAUUCAAAGAGUAGCAGUAGCAGUAGCACCGAUCCAAUUUCUGAGUGGUCCAAGAUCUCCCACGUUCCCAGAAUUAUAAUUAAUGGGCAGCGAAUCAGAGGCUAAUCUCCAAUUAAAGCUACUCGCCUACCUUCUGCUAAAUAACUGUUGCAAACCUGUCUUUCCUUGGUUCUCUCUGAAUUUCUGCUUUCCAGAAAUAUUGGGACAAAAGUCCUCAGCUACCAUAGUUUCCUUUUAUAUGGUGACUCAGAUAAAUACCUACACAUUCUUGGACUUCCGAAAAAGAGGGACUUCUUUACUUCAAAUGGAUCCAGCAGGGCUUUUUCAAAGGGAACUCAUUCUCCUUCAUUAUAUAGAGAAGGUUUAGGCAAUACUAUGCCUAGUUUGAGAGUGUAGAAUGAACCAUUGGUAAAAAACCCAUGGUAUAGUAGUAUUGAAGGCUGAGGGUGUAAUAGAUUUUCUCGAGUCUUAGAGCUCUCCAAGAUGCUGCAACAAAGACUACUCUGGCUGGCUACUGGGAUUCUCUUGCAGGAGCUGUUUGACAGCUAGAAAUUGGAUGAAUGGUCUGAAGAGAUGUUCUCAAAUUUUCCGAUGUAUGAAAAGCUAUGAGCAUAAGCUGUUCUCUCAAUCUGGUGAUGGGGCAGACGCUCUGAUUUAGGGCUAUCAGAUGGCUGAUGGAAAAUAUGCCAUGGUAAUGGAACUGUGGAGAAUAUCAAAUUUUUGCACAGGAGCGGAGAACUUUGAUGCAUAGAGUAGACAUCGAAAUCUGAUGGAUAGAAUUUAAGCAGGAAGUGAAUUUCUGAGAUGGGGGUCAAUCUUGUUGGCAGUAGAAUCCAUGUGAAUGGCAGUCUCCUGGUGAAACAGAGUGUUUAUGCCUUAUAAGGGAAACCUUUCAUGAAAAAUCUUGGGGAUUUAGUUUUGCUCUGCAAGAAUCUCAAGUAUGUUGAAUAGGCAAAGUCAAAUACCUUUUGUAAAACAUAAUGAAAUUAGAAAAGCAAAUAUAAAUAAAUAAAUAAAACAAGAAGAUAUGAACCACCUCAAAAUAUUAUGGUUUGGAAUAUAUGAGGCUGACAGUGAUAGAUUUUCUUGAGGAUCAAGCUCUCCAUGAAGCUGCAUCAAAGACGAUUCAGGCUUGCUACAGGGAUGCUCAUGCACGAGGUAAAGAACAGAGCUAUGGAUAAGCCAAUACAUAGGAAAGCUACAGGUUGGAUUUUUAAGUCAUGAUGACAAAUGCUGCGAAUGAGGCUCGUCAGCCCCCUUACAGAGAUAUAGCCAAGGUCGAAGUGACGAAGUGAGAA